GCAUGGUCUGCUGGCCCCUUUUGGCUACAAAAUCUCCUCAGCUAGCCUUACCUUUGCCUAAUCUCCAUCAGAGAUUCCUUUCGCUAUUCCUUCUCUGUAAGGAAGAGGAAGAAGGGUUGCAAAUGUAGCUAAGUUUCAUACAUCCCCUCAGAGACCGGGCCAGGACUAGAGAGACCCUGCCUAGUGCUGCCAGACUGGAUUUCUCCUCUGCUGGUACACAGUGACCCCUGCUGUGUGGACAUGAGGGGUAGGGCUUGGGGGAUGAGGAGAAGAGAAAGAGGAGGAAGAGGGAGAUGGGGACUGUGCACAGAGCCAUGAAGAACCAUUUUUCUCUUCUGUUAGCUCGCUGAACUUGAGACCCAUGAGCGAUUCCUGUUUAGUACGGAAACAGAAGUGAGUGCCACCAUGUCCCCACUUUCUUGCAUCUACUCGUCUCAGUUCUCCACUUAAGCAAGCCCAGUUGUGCUGAAAGCAAGGACACCUGGGACUGCCUCACACUGACCCAGAGGACCUGCUGGCCAAGCUGUCGGUUUUCAUGCAGUUGUUUAUCUGGAACAAGGCACCAUGUUCCAGCAAGGGGCCAAGCUGAAGCCCUGCUCUCAAGCUCUGCUCCACUGUGUUCUCCCUGGCCGCCCUGUGGGGGUGUCAGUGGAUUCUGGACUUGACCUUAUCUGGAAACCAAUGGUGACGUUUACCUGGGCUAUCAGAAUAGCAAUUGGCUCUGCUAUGAACUAGGUUAUGUCUUCCCCACUCUAAUCCACAAGAUGCAAUGUUCAGUUCCCACGGGAGUGUAAUUGAGCUGGACCUCUCUGGGGAGCAGGGGGGGGGGGGAUGACUGGGAUCAAAAGAGCUCAAAGCAUCAUGGGCCACAUCCCAUUGUGCUGCUGGCCUUAGGAGAAGGGAAGAGAAAUGUCUUUGAUUCCUCCACGAUCUGGGAAGAGGUCAGGUGACUCUCCAUCUCCAAAGGAGGAAGAGCCUCACCAGGCAUCAGGUAAGCCAGCAUCUUCAGCUUGGACUUCCAGCCUCCGAGGCUGUGAGGAACAGAUUCCUGUCAAGUCUUUGAGCUACUGUCUUUUGUUACAUCACCUCAGUGUGACUUAUAUAGUCUGCUAAGUCUCUCGAAAGAAGCAAGCAGGGGAAGGCAGUGGUAGUGAGCGGCUAUCGGUGGUGCAAAUGUGAAUCCCCAUGAUGACAUAUGCCCUGGCCUUUGGAACUCAGGAGGCAUCUGGAGCCAGAAGAUGCUGAGAGGCCAUCUCAGUCAGUGUUCUACUGAGGUGAAGAGACGCCAUGACCACAGCAACUCAUAUAAAAGAAAGCAUUUAACUGGAGGCUUGCUUACCGUUACAGAUAUGCUUAGGCCAUAUCAUCAUGGCAGGAAGCACAAUGACACCCAAGCAGACAUGGUGAUGAGGAAGUAGCGAAGAGUCCUACAUACAGAUCCACAGGCAGCAGAAAGAGAGAGAGAGAGCCACUAGGCCUGACUCAGGCCCUUGAAUCCUCAAAGCCCACCCCCAGUGACACACUUCCUCCAACAAGGCCACAUUUCCAAGCCCUUCCCAAAUAGUGCUGCUCCUGGAUGAUCAAGCAUUCGAACCUGAAAGCCAAAGGGGACCAUUCCUCUCAAACCACCACAGAGGCCAUGUAGGUAAGUUGGGCCCGUACUGACAUGCCUGCUUUAAAGGGUAUGUUCCUGCCAUAGAAAGGCCACAGCUCUAAGGAAUGGGGACUAACUAUUCCCACCUCACACUGGCUACACCAGAAACAAGGCACAGCCUCCUGCUUCUCUGUGACCAACAAUGGGGCUGGAAGCUUUCUGGGAUUAGCAGCCACCUCCCCUAAGACAUGAAUUCCCUGAGUUUUAGGGAACAAACAGAAGGUUAAGCUUGGCUCAUUAUGUUCAUGAUUCCAAAUCCACUGACCCUUUGGAACAUUCUAGUCCCUGAGAGGAAACUGGAAAGAUUUCCGUGAUGGAGACAUCUACAAAGUCUUGCUCCUGUCUGGUUAGCUAAAGGCUCCUACACAGGCAUAGAGUAUUUCCUUUUCCAUCUGGAAGAAUAAAAGGAGAAAUGUUGUUCUCUCUCUCUCUCUCUCUCUCUCUCUCUCUCUCUCUCUCUCUUUCUCUCUCUCUCUCUCUCUCUCUCUCUCGCUUUCUCUCUCCCCCACCCCCAUGCCUACUCCCAAAAUGAACCACGCCAGACACUGCUCCCUUGGGUUCCUCCAAAUCAGAGACCUGAGAUGUGAGAUACUGAUUGGUAACUCUUAGGGGGACCACUCUGCUCCCUUGCUACAGCACUGGCUGCGGUCAGCAGGAGCAUGGGGCACGAGGCCUCUGCAUUCAUGCAGGGCUUGACUGUGUCCUUUUGGUUGGCUACUAAGAGAGAACCCAACAAGCUUGCCUAGCCCGGAGCCCUCCAUGGUAAAGAGGCAUCCCUCUGCUCUAGGCUGAGGCAGCACUUGCUAAGCUGUGGCUCUGCUCCACCUCGGCAGAGCCAUAGUGAUCGCUGCUGGCCCCUGUUCCCUUUGUGGUUUCAGACAUUUAUUUUAAAACCUGACCUUUCCUUUAUCUUUGCUGUCCUAGAAGCAUGGGCACGGGACAUGUUCUCUCCUUGUUUCUGUCUUAGUCUCUCUCUCUCUCUCUCUCUCUCUCUCUCUCUCUCUCUCUCUCUCCAACUCUCAGCAAAACAAGCUAGGUUACCAUUUCCUUUUGGGGGGCAAAUGCCAGGCCUGCAUACUUCUCCUGAGAUGAUUUCACAGGCUAUGCUAAUUAUUUUUUAGGGCAAGCAUAAUAAAACCCAGGUGACUUGCCUCCAGACAUCUUUCUCCUUAUCUUCAUACAGCUCUGAAUCGGUUCCCAACCCGGAUCCCCCUCCAAUCCUCCUCCGCGCGCCCCACCCCCACCCCCAGCCUAGGCAUGGCAGCAAUUACCACGUGCUCUCCGGUUUUCACCAGACAUUCUUUGUCGAAACCCUGCUAGAGCCCACAAAGGUUAAUAUGCUUCUGCUGUACAAAAUGUAGGCGUUAUCUUAUGGGUUGUAAGACAUGCCGGUGACACUUGAAUCUAGACAAUUUACAAGAUCAGCAAAACGGGGGCGGGGGGGGGGGCGUCUCAACUGGCAUCUCUACUAAUGAUGUUCUCCUCAGAGCUUGAACCAGUG
Molecule: long non-coding RNA, 3155 nt
Filed under: Mus musculus (house mouse)
Lineage: Eukaryota; Metazoa; Chordata; Mammalia; Rodentia; Muridae
Description: predicted gene, 31983
Source: RNAcentral